Molecule: long non-coding RNA, 393 nt
Organism: Oreochromis aureus
Lineage: Eukaryota; Metazoa; Chordata; Actinopteri; Cichliformes; Cichlidae
Source: Ensembl
GUGGAACAAAAGAAACUUUCCUAAGAGCCACUUACCAGACAAAGCUGCUGUACUCAUUGCCUGGGGCAGAAGUAAGCACCAGAAUCACCAAGGAGUGUCACACUGAGGUUAAGAACAAGCUGACACUGGACAUCAAAUACUACAAACUCAGAAUAUCCUCUACUUCACCUCUGCAAGAUGGAGUUUUACACAUUCCCUGUGAAGCCAUGCUUCUAGUUUGAAGUGCUGACACCUGAAGUAGGCUGACAUGUCCUCACCACUCGCUCCCCCUUAUCGGGGACACACAGGCAGCUUCCUCACACAGCAGCCUGGACCAGCGCUGCCACUUUUAACCUGCUUCCUCAGACUAGCGCAGCGGUGUUUUCAUAUUCCUCACGGUGAUUCUGAAUGAAU